This 2131-nucleotide unclassified non-coding RNA is filed under the name Hevea brasiliensis (rubber tree). The record is from RNAcentral. Lineage: Eukaryota; Viridiplantae; Streptophyta; Magnoliopsida; Malpighiales; Euphorbiaceae.
GCAGAACCCUAGAUCCUCCAUUAUCGUAAGGACCAUUCGAGAUGGCUCUCUCCAAGCACAUCUUUUUAACCCAUCACCUCAGAACCUUAGCUAAACCCCAUUAUCUCCGCCACCCUCAACCACCACCUUCCUUCAUUUCCCUCCGUCUCCUUUCAUUUGCCACUCCGGAAGAAGCUGCCGCUGAACGCCGUAAACGCAAACGCCGACUCCGUAUUGAACCCCCUUUAUCAUCCCUCCGUCAGCAACAUCAACCUCGUCCCACUACACCUCAAAACCCUAGCUCCACUAAUAACCCGAAUGCACCGAAGAUUCCCGAAACUGUUUCUGUACUAUCCGGUAAUAGACUUAAUCUGCAUAAUCGGAUUCUUAAACUCAUUCGUGAGAAUGAUUUGGAUGAAGCUGCUUUGUACACGCGGCACUCUGUUUACUCUAAUUGCCGCCCUACUAUCUUUACUUGCAACGCUGUAAUGGCUGCGCAACUCCGGCAGUCCAGAUAUUCUGAUCUACUUUCUCUUCACCGGUUCAUCACGCAGGCUGGUAUUGGGGCUAAUAUUGUCACACAUAAUUUGCUCCUCACGGCUUUUAUGGAUUGCCGGAAAACUGAUAUGGCUAUGGAACAUUACAAGCAGCUCAUCAAUAAUGCACCUUUUAACCCUUCCCCGACUACGUAUCGGAUACUUAUUAAAGGACUUGUUGAUAACAACAAGAUUGAUAGGGCGAUGGAGUUGAAGGAGGAAAUGUUGUCCAAAGGGCUUAGUGCUGAUCCGAUUGUGUAUAGUUAUUUGAUGUCUGGACAAGCUAAGGUUUCGAACCCAGAUGCAGUUUUCGAGCUGUAUGAAGAAUUAAAGGAGAAAUUGGGAGGAAGUGUUUCGGAUGGAGUGAUUUAUGGGAGUUUAAUGAAAGGUUAUUUCUUGAGGGGAAUGGAGCAGGAGGCUAUGGAGUGUUAUGAGGAAACUGUGGGUGAGAAUUCUAAGCUUAAGAUGAGUGCUGUGGCAUUCAACUAUAUUCUAGAUGCUUUAAGCAAGAACGGAAAGUUCGAUGAGGCAUUAAAGCUAUUUGACAGGAUGCUGAAUGAGCACGAUCCUCCAAAAAGAUUGACAGUGAAUUUGGGUAGCUAUAAUGUAAUGGUGGAUGGUUAUUGUGCAUUGGGAAGGUUCAAAGACGCAAUCAAUGUUUUUAACAGCAUGGGAGAGAAGAGGUGUAGACCAGACACAUUGUCUUACAAUAAUCUGAUUGAGCAGUUGUGCAAAAAUGACUUGUUGGGUGAGGCUGAGGAGCUCUAUAAGGAUAUGGGCGAAAAAGGGGUCAGCCCUGAUGAGUUCACGUUUGUUUUGUUGAUGGAUACUUGCUUUAAAGAAAGUAGGCCUGAUGACGCUGCUGCGUAUUUUAAGACCAUGGUGGAGUCUAAAUUGAGGCCUAAUCUUGGAGUUUAUGAUAGGUUGGUUGAUGGUUUGGUCAAAGUUGGUAAAGUUGAUGAAGCAAAAUCAUUUUUUGAUCUGAUGAUGGGAAAGCUCAGGAUGAAUGAUGAUAGCUACAAGUUUAUGAUGAACGCAUUGUUUGAUAUUGGGCAGCAUGAUGAGGUGCUUAAGAUUGUGGAUAGAAUGUUGAGGGAGGAUCCAGCUGAUUUCUCUGAUGAGUUGCAAGAGUUUGUUCGAGAAGCCUUGGCGAAGGAAGGUAGAGAUGAGGAGUUGACCAAACUUAUGGAUGAUAUUGAAAGGGAGAAGAAAGAAGCUGCUGACAGGGAGGCUGAAGCAGCUGAAAAAGCGAAGGCCAGUGCAAGAGCUGCUGUUUCCUCUUUGAUAAAUAGUCCUAAAUUGUUUGGAAAUAAGCAGCCUGAAGAGCAGUCAACAAUUACUGGUGAGGCUGCCAGCAUCAACGACAAUGACAAACAAGAGGAGGUGAGUGUUCAAGAAACUGCUGCGGAGGCUAGUUCCUCUGGUGAGGGUGGAGAAGCUGAGAGCCUUGUUGCUGCAGAAGCUAGAAGUGAUGGUGCACUUUGAUGAGGUAGCAGAAUGAUAAAAUAUGUUGGGUGACAACUAAUGAGAAACAGUAGUAGGUUUCCUUUCACUCUGCCACACUUGCAAGCACGAACUAUAUAAUGCUCUUAUGAUAAAUUACUAGUGGGAAAUUG